RNAcentral lists this ribosomal RNA (235 nucleotides) under uncultured bacterium. RNAcentral describes it as "partial 16S ribosomal RNA". It matches the Rfam family "Bacterial small subunit ribosomal RNA", at positions 118 to 347 of the family's 1533-position model. The record is from RNAcentral.
UGAGGAACAUGACCUUCGGCGGGGGAUAGCCGGCCCAACGGCCGGGUAAUACCGCGUACGACCACAUGGGGACAUCCCUAGGUGGUGAAAGCAGCAAUGCGCCGAUGGAGUGCCUCGCGGCCUAUCAGCUAGUUGGUGAGGUAACGGCUCACCAAGGCGACGACGGAUAGCUGGUCUGAGAGGAUGGCCAGCCACAUUGGGACUGAGACACGGCCCAGACCUCGUACCGGGGAGG